Molecule: ribosomal RNA, 301 nt
Filed under: uncultured bacterium
Lineage: Bacteria
Description: partial 16S ribosomal RNA
Rfam family: Bacterial small subunit ribosomal RNA
Source: RNAcentral
CAGCAGCCACGGUAAUACAGAGGGUGCGAGCGUUAAUCGGAUUUACUGGGCGUAAAGCGUGCGUAGGCGGCUUCUUAAGUCGGAUGUGAAAUCCCUGAGCUUAACUUAGGAAUUGCAUUCGAUACUGGGAAGCUAGAGUAUGGGAGAGGAUGGUAGAAUUCCAGGUGUAGCGGUGAAAUGCGUAGAGAUCUGGAGGAAUACCGAUGGCGAAGGCAGCAAUCUGGCCUAAUACUGACGCUGAGGUACGAAAGCAUGGGGAGCAAACAGGAUUAGAUACCCCAGUAGUCCCUGUCUCUUAUAC